GCAGUCCAUCAACAUCUCUUUCUUCCUGAGUCAGGUUCCGAGCGAGAUGGGGUCGCGAUGCAGACAAUGCUGGGCGCGGCGGCGGCGAUCUCCAGCCAGAUCCGAUCGAGGGGUCGAGGCAGGGGCUGGAUCCUGUUCAGGGGAUGGCGUGGAGGCGAUCUACAAAUCGCGGGAGGAGGUCAGGCGACGGGGCUUCAACUCCAAGUUCAUGGCGGCGGCGUUCCUCCCCGGUUCCGACCAAGAUGGGGAGCUCCGGCGGAGUCUCUCCAUGGAUAAGGUGGCGCUGCACCUGUGAGAGACAGAGGGAAGGAGAGGGCACGAGAAGCAGCGGGGAAGUUCUGGUGGUGCCCGUCGCCUGCAACAGCUCUCUUGAGUACGUCCAAAGAGAGAUGAGAGAGAGCCGGGAGGAAGAAGGAAAGGAAGGAGACUUCAGGAAGGGGUAGCGGGAUCCUGCAGGGCUGGGUUGGAGCCCCGUGGUAGCUUGCUCUGAUGGUGCUACUACUGUUGUUGGACGGCAGCCGAUGGGACAAGGCCUAGGUAAGAGGAAAAACAUGUGUUGCAUCGACACAUUUGAUGCAGAGCGGCCACUGUAAGUUCCUCUCCCUUCUCUAAUUAGUAUUGAGAUUCCAUUGAUAUUUGAUGGAGAGCAGCCACCAAAAGUUCCUCUUUUGAUGCACCGAAAACAGCUCUCUCUCUCUCUCUCUAAUUUAUUCUCAGCUAUAGAAUGACGUGUAUCUAUGCUACUUGCUAAUGUGAUGGAUAAUGCAUGUGGAUUGAUUCAUGAAUUAGCAAAAUAUUUCAUGUGAGAUGUGCUAGAGAACGGUUUUGAUCUAAUUGAAUAAUACGAAGUAUUUUAGUUCUGAUGGUAAUAGACGAGCAACUUCAGUUGUAUUUGAUUUCAGUUUUUGUUUUUCAGUAUAUGUUGGUCAAGAUUCAACUUUGUUUAUGUCCAUGUUUUGCUGGUAUAAUGCAUCAUCAAGCUUUCUUUUUAUAUGAUGAUACUGUGUAAAUCAGCAUAUGGAUGUGCAAAAUAUUCUUAGGGGCAUUAGCCUAGACAAGGAUGUUGAUGGUUUACAUCCCUUAAACAUUGGUAAUGUUGCCCUCAGAAGCUGGAAACCUGUGAUUGUUUCUUGUGCUACAAUAUGGAUUUAUCUCAUGGAAAGCACGUGUGGUGAAAGAAAGUCAUUAGCCAAUCCUACAAUGUUUUGGUUUAUUUUUCGGAUAGUCCUUUUUGACUGAUUAAUCAUGUGUGACGUUUCAUGCAGUGAUCUGUCCUAACCAGGAAGACAAUGCUGAGGUAGUACAGGUUACAUCUAUGUUCAGAGAUGAGGCUAAGAUAAAAGAUGCUCAUAGUUAGUUCAUAGUUUGAUUUCAUGAGGAAUCCAUAGGGUGGCGGAUGUUUGCUAUGAGGUGGUGUAUGUACGUGUUGCACCUCAUGGCCGUGCCAUGCUUCCUGCAAGCCAAUUUACUGCUUCUUCCGAGGUCAUAUAGUGAUGAAAUGGCACCGAGAAUCUAAAGGUUAGUAAUUCUAUUCUAUUCUUCUCUAUUAAGAACAAUAUUAUUUUUCAUGAUUUAGUGACUGCUAAGUGCUAAUAAAUUAAUUCAAUCAUAUUGGGCCAUUUGUUAUAGAGCUAAACGAACCAUCUGAAGUGGGAUGCAUUGCAUUUUCCCAACAGAAUUUAUAGUAGCACCAAGAAGGGUUGCGUCCAUCAUCCUCAUCAUGUCCGAUCUAGGCCGCCAGAGCACCAAGUUGCUGGCCUAUUCUAACAAGUCUAGGCCCUCGAGGCAUCCCUUCUGGCUGUGGAAGGAGACCCCGAUCUGUAGGAGCGACGAGUAUGGUCCCGUAAUUAAUAACAAGACUCUCCUCUAUCCAUCUGCAUAACUCCCAUGAAGAAAAAUCUCUAAACUCCAGUAACCACCUUUAUGUCGAUCUAAGCGGUGGAGAGUUUGGUAUGGUGGCAAAUCAAGCAACUGCAGAUGGAGUCAUUCCAUGUUACUGCAUUGAGUUAGCAUACAUGGCAUGGAUGAUAGAUCAAACCCAAGUGAUUUGGAUUCUCAUGCUGGCACCUUCUCACAGUCGUGAACAUCCGUGAGUGAAUUUGGUUAUAUAGAACAAAAUCUAAGAGUUGACCAAAUGAAAUAGGUAUUUUCUUGAACUGAACGACACACAUCUAUCCCUAAUAAUAAAGCAUGGAUUGACUCCGUGGGUUCACUAUCACAAUACGUUUUCUUCCUGUAAAUUUACGCUUUCAUCAAUUUAUAAAAUAUAUAAACAAGGUGGUACUAAUUCGGGGAACCACGUCGUGUGCAUCAAACAAUCCAAACAAUACCUGCCACUGUGCUUCGGCCCAGUAAAUCAGGCCCACAUGCCUGUUUGCAGCCCAACAAAUAAUGGCGCAACCACCCGAGCUAGCUCUCCCUCUCCUCCUGAUCUCAGCCGCCACGAGGCGACCGACCCCGGCGACGCUCGAUCUGGUGCUGCACCGGCCGCCGGUCGACGCCGGCGAGGAUUUGUGCCCUCUCCCGACCCACGUCUCUCUCUCUCGCAAAAUAGGAUUGGGCGCCGCCGCCAUUUUCCUGGUUGAAGGCGGCCAGAGCGCCGCACGGGAGGCCUUUGUCGAGCGAAGCCCUGGAUCACGGCGUUCCCGCGGAGGGACAGGGCAGCGGAUUCAAGGAUGGGCGCGACAGGCGGAGCUCUGUCCUCCUUUGUCCUGUCCCAUCGAGCGCUGGAUCGAAGAAGCAUCAGCUCCCCCCACCUCCAUCCCGUCUCCUCUCCUACAUCGGCCACACCACGCCGCGCUCGUGGAGCGGAGUCGCAGAAGCACGACGCCGACUGUGGCGGAGUGAGGAGAGCUCGUCCGGUCAUCUUGUCACUCCAAGGCAGGAUCAGGCCCAACCUCCACGCCACCAGCUCCACCCCAUAUCUCUUGCCUUUCAGGUCAGUUUCAGGUCCGCUUAAAAGUUUCAGGUUAGCUCAUCUAAAAGCAGUUUCAGGUUAGUCCGCAUAAUUUAGUUACAAGUGUUAUUUGGUUGACUGUCGUUGUUACUUAUCCUAUCUGAAUCUAAAGGUUCCAUGUUUCUGACAAAACAAUGGCUGAUUUGCUAGAUGUAGAGCGCAAGCUAAAUGAUACAGGCCCUGCUGUGAAAACCAACGGGUCUCUUCUUUUACAAGCUUUUGCUACAGUUGAAUUACUCAAUAUGUGUGUGUGUUUUAUAUCAUCUGGUGAUCAAGUUUUAAUGUAUCUUGAUGAAAUGUAGACCUUUGUAACAUAUUUGCACCUUUGGAGUAACAUAUGAUGUCCUUUAUCAGUAUGGCUGAUCCUUCACCCUUAUUUCCUCUACUUGUUGAUAUGUGUCUGCUGGAACAAGCUGGUUCAAUGGUGCCUUCAGCAAAGUCGCCGAGGCUGGUCAUGUUGCCGGCUCAAGAACAACAGAAAAGUCCCAGAUAGUUGUGUCAAAUAUAUCAACCAAAGGACCUGCUGUCGUUGCUUGAGCUUGUUGAGUUUGUUCUGGGAGCUCCUCUUCCUGGGGAAAAUCUGUUGGAAACCUUGAGCAAGCAUCUAAUGUUGGCUGUGUCAUCAAGCUUUGGCUUGUAACUGUGUAUUUCUCUCCUUCUCAUCUUCUUCUUUGAGGAGGUUUAUUUUCAGGGAGUCUUGACAGAUUUGGUAGAGGAUCUAAAUUUUCUUUAGAAUUUUAGAACCACUACCCUUUUUAGUGUCGGUGUUCAGUUGAUUAUAGAUGAUAGUGACAUUUUGGACCAUGGUCCUGGUUCGGUGUGGUUUCAUGAUUGUCAUACAAUACACUAAAUUUUCUGAGUAUUGCACAAGCCUGAGUAAAUAUGGGUUGAGGUAAUCUAACCUUAUACUACAUAUUCAAUUAAUACACGUUCUUAUUGAAAAA
Long non-coding RNA from Triticum aestivum (bread wheat), 3900 nucleotides. RefSeq lists it as uncharacterized. NCBI's taxonomy places the organism in Eukaryota, Viridiplantae, Streptophyta, Magnoliopsida, Poales, Poaceae. The record is from RefSeq and is a predicted model, not a curated record. The transcript is spliced from 2 exons.